This is a long non-coding RNA of Mercenaria mercenaria, 684 nucleotides long. RefSeq lists it as uncharacterized. The record is from RefSeq and is a predicted model, not a curated record. The transcript is spliced from 5 exons. Lineage: Eukaryota; Metazoa; Mollusca; Bivalvia; Venerida; Veneridae.
GUCAUAAGCGCCGUCUCGGAAUUAUCAGUGGCUCUUUUUUCAACUCACCUCCAAAGAGAGAGAGAGAGCCAGUGUGUACAGGCCAUGACUUAGACAAUGACUGACAAAGACUCGCUUCUUGAAAAAAAGCGGUUCUUGGUUAUUAAUUAUUGGAAGCCACUUUUAUUGGAGGCACUGAAAUUCUUACGUUAAAAAAGAAAUACAAAGCAAUAACAUUCAAAUGCACUACCGGAACAACAAUAUCAAAGCACUAGAGAUCCGGAAACAGCUGCAUAUUGAAGAAUUGGAGAUCCGGAAAGAACUAUUUAUUAUGUCCAAGUACUAAACUACUAAAAAGGAAGUUAGAAUAAAAUAAACAACCUGGGUUAUGUCGGAGUAGACUGGAUAUGCUUGGGAUAUGUCCAGCCUGUCAUUGCGUUAACUUUAUCAGGAGAUUGCCUCAUUGAAAGACAAGAUGGGCACCAACCUUGAAAACAAGCACCACUUCUCAUGUGCUGUGUACUUGACUAGCCGUCAAUAUAUCAGAUGACAGAGAAAGAGGCAAUUCCCGUUGCAGUUUGUGACAUCCCUAUUGUCAACUGGUUGAAAUCCUAAGCAGCCGGAUGGAACGUUUCUCACUUCUUGUGCUCAAUGGCAGUAUUUACUGUUUCUGUCUUUACAGCAUUAAAACUUUUAUCAUUUCUA